AUGGGGUGGCGGUUCAAGUUCGGCGGCCUUCGCGUGUUGUGGUUGGCGGCGCUGCACUUCCCUUCUCCCCUGCCCAGUACGGUGGUCUGCAGAUUAUCCUUCAAAGGAGGCCACAAAGAGCAGCGAUGGCUUCUUGGUAAUCUGCAAUUGGCCACAAAGGAUGAGGUACAUGGAGAUUGCCAGCCACCUUCCAUUGGUGUAUAUGCAAGCUACAGAGGAAAACCAAAUAUGCACCAUGCCGAUAUGCUUCAUGACGAGUGUGCUUUUGUCAUCCCUCACCCUCUCAGAUGGCCAUUAGGUGCUAACCAAGAGGUGCACGCCAUGAAUCAAACUACCGAGGGGGCAUACAGUAAUAAGGAGGGAGUGGCUAUCGCAGCGAAGCUACCCUCCCCCUCAAUCAUGCACUGCUUUUCAAACGCAGUUUGCCACUGCUGUUUAAUUAGCUUCUGCAUUAGCAGCGGAUUCAGAGUUUAUUCUUCAGCGGAUUCAAUUUGCGGGAGACUCCUGUUGCAGUUUGGUGACAUAGAUCAGUGUCAAGUCGCUUAA
This 546-nucleotide ribosomal RNA is filed under the name Triticum aestivum (bread wheat). RNAcentral's name for it is "partial small subunit ribosomal RNA". Lineage: Eukaryota; Viridiplantae; Streptophyta; Magnoliopsida; Poales; Poaceae. The record is from RNAcentral.